CCCCGGCGCCACAAGUGGUUAUCACGAUUAUUGGGCCUAAAGCGUUCGUAGCCGGUUUGGUGAAUCUCUUGUGAAAUUGUUCGGCUUAACCGGACAGCGUGCAGGAGACACUGCCAGACUCGAGACCGGGAGGGGUUAGAAGUAUUCCAUGGGGACUGGUAAAAUGGGAUAAUCCAUGGAAGACUACCGAUGGCGAAGGCAUCUAACCAGAACGGAUCUGACGGUGAGGAACGAAAGCCAGGGGAGCGAACCGG
Molecule: ribosomal RNA, 254 nt
Filed under: uncultured bacterium
Lineage: Bacteria
Description: partial 16S ribosomal RNA
Rfam family: Archaeal small subunit ribosomal RNA
Source: RNAcentral